AUUGAACGCUGGCGGCAGGCCUAACACAUGCAAGUCGAGCGGAUGACGGGAGCUUGCCCCUUGAUUCAGCGGCGGACGGGUGAGUAAUGCCUAGGAAUCUGCCUGGUAGUGGGGGACAACGUUUCGAAAGGAACGCUAAUACCGCAUACGUCCUACGGGAGAAAGCAGGGGACCUUCGGGCCUUGCGCUAUCAGAUGAGCCUAGGUCGGAUUAGCUAGUUGGUGGGGUAAUGGCUCACCAAGGCGACGAUCCGUAACUGGUCUGAGAGGAUGAUCAGUCACACUGGAACUGAGACACGGCCCAGACUCCUACGGGAGGCAGCAGUGGGGAAUAUUGGACAAUGGGCGAAAGCCUGAUCCAGCCAUGCCGCGUGUGUGAAGAAGGUCUUCGGAUUGUAAAGCACUUUAAGUUGGGAGGAAGGGCAGUAAGUUAAUACCUUGCUGUUUUGACGUUACCGACAGAAUAAGCACCGGCUAACUCUGUGCCAGCCGCCGCCGUAA
This 500-nucleotide ribosomal RNA is filed under the name uncultured bacterium. RNAcentral's name for it is "partial 16S ribosomal RNA". It matches the Rfam family "Bacterial small subunit ribosomal RNA", at positions 30 to 523 of the family's 1533-position model. The record is from RNAcentral.